Long non-coding RNA from Acinonyx jubatus (cheetah), 3941 nucleotides. RefSeq lists it as uncharacterized. The transcript is spliced from 3 exons. The record is from RefSeq and is a predicted model, not a curated record. NCBI's taxonomy places the organism in Eukaryota, Metazoa, Chordata, Mammalia, Carnivora, Felidae.
UCAUGAUCUCACAGUUCAUGGGUUCGAGCCCCACGUCGGGCUCUGUGCUAACAGCUCAGAGCCUGGAGCCUGUUUCAGAUCCUGUGUCUCCCUCUCUCUCUGACCCUCUCCCACUCGAAUUCUGUCUCUCUCUCUCUCUCUCUCUCAAAAAUAUAUAAAAUAUUUUUAAAACUUUUUUAAAUAAUAAAAUAGAGUUGAGCAUAAAAAUACUAAUGUGAAAACCCGGGACAUGUCACAGACAUAGGGCACAAUGUCAUUCAUUGGGCAGUUCAGGGAUGACUGAGUUUGGAGAAACAGGAAAAUGUGUGUGAAGCGUCCUUGUACCUAACAUGUAUUCAGGGAAUGGAAGGUUCUAGUCUGUGCUUAUUCACCCCUGCCCCACUACUGCCCCCGAAGGUCCCACCAACUCCAGCUGCGGCCACAGCCCACCUGCCCCCGCAGGGCUUACCGAUGCGGAGCCAGGUCGGGAGCUGGGGCAUCAUGGCGGCGCCCCCAAGCCUCCUCCAAGGAUCUUCCUUGAGUUUUGCUGUUGGUGGUGAGCCAAAACGUUCUCUUGACUCCAGGACAGGCAGGAACAGCUUUGCUCCCAGUUUUUCAAACCUCUGUUCUACCUACCCACACGUUGUGUCUUCUGGUCUCUGUUAGGAAAGGACUAUUGCAACACACUCUCAAGCCACUUCCCACAGGCUUCAUGCCCAGCACAGCAAUCAUCCACUGCUAAGGCACGUCCAUGAAUAUGCAAAGCAUGGGAGAAAUUGCUAGCCUUUGUCCCCUUUUGCCAAGUGGCUGAAAAGAGCUGGGCCCCCAGCAGUCCAGAAUAAGAGACCCAUUUCUCUCCAUUGGGGAACCGUAGGUCCUUCUGUUCAUAGGAUGUAAGCAGAAGAGAUGUGCACAACUUCUGGGUGAUGGAAGAAGUCACAAGGCAUCAGGGACAGAUGAGGAUCUGGGAGAACAAGACAACAGGCCCUACAGAGAGAAGAAGUGGAAGUGACCGAGGAGACCAAAGAAGACUUGACUCCACAGACUGGAAGGGACGGCUGUCGUCACUGUUGCUGUCCUGGUCCUGUGGCACAACCACGGGGAACAAACCCCACAGCCUGACGGCAAGGGCCCUCUGAAGUCCCAGACCAGACACACACACAGGCCAUAGGGGGCUGUUGGUGAUGAUGGGGGUUGCCCGGCGGACCGACCGGUGCAGAGGCACCGUCGCUGGUAGAGAAUGCAGUUAGUACUCUCACGACUGCUCACUCAGUAACAUUCUAUGAAUAACAUUAGCCAUCAAUAAUCUAUUUUCACCUGGCUCCCCUUGAUGCCUUUCUCGUCCUCACACGCACACUUUCCGUCUCCAAGCCCUUCUCGCCACUCAGCACUCAUAUGUGCCUUUCCUGCUUUAUGCCUGAUUUCGGUGGGGCACACAUCCCUCUCUGUUGUUAUUAUAUUUACCACCUUCCCCUCCCCCUCUCCCCACUUUAGGGAGAAGGACUCUUCAGGCCUGUUGGAUAAGUAAAUGCAUAAGUUGGGGCACCUGGCUGGCUCAGUCGGUGGAGUGAGUUUGGGUGGCUCGUUGGGUGUAGAGGUUACUUAAAAAAUAAAAUCUUUUUUUUAAUGUUUAUUUAUUUUUGAGAGAGACAGAGCAUGAGUGGGAGAGGGGCAGAGAGGGAGAGGGAGACACAGAAUCCAAAGCAGCUCCAGGCUCCGAGCCGUCAGCACAGAGCCUGACACGGGGCUUGAACUCACUGAUCGUGAGAUCAUGACCCGAGCCGAAGUCGGACACUUAACUGACUGAGCCACCCAAGCACCCCCAAAAAUAAAAUCUUUAAAGAAGAAUUAUUUUUAAAAAUUUUAACUUCAUUCAUUUAUUUUGAGAGAGACAGAGAGGGCGAGCAGGGGAGGGGUAGAGAGAGAGAGGGAGAGAGAGAAUCCCAAGCAGGCUCUGCAUUGCCAGCACAGAGCCUGAUGCAGGGACUGAACCCACGAACUCUAAGAUGAUAACCUGAGCUGAAACGAAGAGUCAGACACCCAACCAACUGAGCCACCCAGGCGCCCCAGAAGAAUUAAAUUAAAAAAAAUUUUUUUGGUGUUUAUUUAUUUUUGAAGGAGAGAGAGACAGAGCACGAGUGGGGAAGGGGCAGAGAGAGAGGGAGACACAGAAUCCGAAGCAGGCUCCAGGCUCUGAGCUGUCAGCACAGAGCCCGACGUGGGGCUCGAACCCGUAAACCAUGAGAUCAUGACCUGAGCCGAAGUCGGAGGCUUAACCAAGACUGAGCCACCCAGGCGCCCCAAGAAUUAAAUUUUUUUAAUGUUUAUUUCUUUUUGAGAGAGAGAGAGAGAGAGAGAGAGAGAGAGCACGAAGUGGGUAGGGGCAGAGAGAGAGAGGGACUCCAGGCUCUGAACUGUCAGCGCAGAGCCCUAUGCGGGGCACCAGCCCACAAACCGUGAGAUCAUGACCUGAGCCAAAGUCGGACACUUAACCAACUGAGCCCCCCAGGUGCCCCAAAAUCUUUUUAAUUUUUUAAAUGUUUUUUUAUUCAUUUUUUAGAGGCAGAAACAGAGUGUGAGCUGGGCAGGGGCAGAGAGAGAGGGAGACACAGAAUCCGAAGCAGGCUCCAGGCUCUGAGCUGUCAACACAGAGCCUGAUGCAGGGCUCGAACCAGCGAACCCUGAUAUCAUGACUUGAGCCGAAGUCGGAGGCUUAACUGACUGAGCCACCCAGGCGCCCCCCAAAAUCUUUAAAAAAGAAUUAAAUGCAUCGGUUGGUUGAUAGAUACUGAAUAAGUAUAGUAAAUAGGUGAUUGGAUUAAUAAGCUGAUUAACUGAUUAAUAAAGGGAGGAAUGGGUGUAAGAAUGAAUAAAUGAUGGGUAAGGGCAAAAGAAAGGAUAGAAAAUCCAAUGAGAGCAAGUGCAAAGGGGACGGAGGGAUGGAAGGAAAGAAGGGUGAGAAUCAAUGAGCAGGUGGAUGGAUGACGAGAAAUGAGUGAGAGGGUGGUUGAAAAGCAAAGGAACCAGAAAUGAGUGGAAGCACAAAGUCAGGGGGAGCCUCCCUGAUGCGCCACUGACUUCCCGUAUGACUAGGGGGGAGCUUCAGGCCACCCCUCUAUUCCACCAUUUUCCAUUCCAUUUUACAGGAGAAACUUGAAUGUAGUCAGGCCUUCCAGAGAGGUAAGAGGAGAGAGCAAGCAGGCUGCGUGAGGAACGGUUUAUGUUAUUUUGACAACCUCGAAGGCAGCCAAGAGCCAGCGGGGCAACAGGCCAGGUGCAAUGUGUUAAUGUCCACGUCAAAGGUCUGUGCACACCGCCCUUGCUGUUGCCUUGGCAGUGGAUGCCUCUUAAUCCUAAUGACGGCUCAAGAAACCAGUCUGCAGUGCAUGCAAAUGAAGCUGUAAUUAGAGAAGUUCCACUUGAUCUGACCUUGGCCCACCUUUGGGGAAGGUCUGAGCAGGGGUUUGAAAAAGGUUUGCUUGGCGACCGGGAAUGAUGUCACGAAGGAAGAGGCAGCGAAUUGCUUACAAGGUGAGCUGGAGCUGGCACCAUGGAAAAAAAGACUGUGACUUCAUUCCAGCCCUGAGCCUUGAGUAGAAACCACACUCAUCCAAUAGCUAACAUUUAUUGAGCGUUUGCUAUGGGCCAGUCGCUUUUAAGGGCUUUGUGCGUGUUGCCCACUUAAUCCUACAAUAAUCCUAGGAAGUGAGUAUUAUCAGUGAGCCCAUUUUACAGUCCAGGCAACUAAGACUUGGCAAAGGUCAUCUUCCUAGUAUCCCAGUGAGGAGGCAGCAGCACUGGGAAUCGAACCCAGGCCUUGUGACUGGGAAGCCUUAACCACGGGUAGAGCCUUCCACGGAUCUAGGAGGUACUGGCCCAGAAGGGAGGGAGAACACACAGUAUGAAGCAGAUUAUUAUUCAGCAGCUGGGCUCAGCCCAACUGUGGGCUCUUGCAAGGGCCG